This 648-nucleotide unclassified non-coding RNA is filed under the name Arabidopsis suecica. RNAcentral describes it as "sequence contains ITS1, 5.8S rRNA gene and ITS2". The stretch from base 275 to 430 matches the Rfam family "5.8S ribosomal RNA". The record is from RNAcentral. Lineage: Eukaryota; Viridiplantae; Streptophyta; Magnoliopsida; Brassicales; Brassicaceae.
UGUCGAUACCUGYCCAAAACAGAACGACCCGCGAACCAAAGAUCACCACUCUCGGUGGGCCGGUUUCUUAGCCGAUUCCUUGCCCGCCGGAUCCGUGGUUUCGCGUAUCGGCAUGMUYGGGAGCUUUAUCUCGGUCUUGUCGUGCGCGUUGCUUCCGGAUAUCACAAAACCCCGGCACGAAAAGUGUCAAGGAACAUGCAAACGAACGGCUGGCAUUCGCCUCCCCGGAGACGGAGUGUGGGCGGAUGCUGUGCYGCGAACUGAAGUCUAAAACGACUCUCGGCAACGGAUAUCUCGGCUCUCGCAUCGAUGAAGAACGUAGCGAAAUGCGAUACUUGGUGUGAAUUGCAGAAUCCCGUGAACCAUCGAGUCUUUGAACGCAAGUUGCGCCCCAAGCCUUCUGGCCGAGGGCRCGUCUGCCUGGGUGUCACAAAUCGUCGUCCCUCACCAUCCUUUGCUGAUGCGGGACGGAAGCUGGUCUCCCGUGUGUUACCGCACGCGGUUGGCCUAAAUCCGAGCCAAGGACGCCUGGAGCGUACCGACAUGCGGUGGUGAACUUGAUCCAUUACAUUUUAUCGGUCGCYCUUGUCCGRAAGCUGUAGAUGACCCAAAGUCCAUAUAGCGACCCCAGGUCAGGCGGGAUUACCC